Molecule: ribosomal RNA, 319 nt
Filed under: Oxyrrhis marina
Lineage: Eukaryota; Dinophyceae; Oxyrrhinales; Oxyrrhinaceae
Description: partial Bacterial large subunit ribosomal RNA
Rfam family: Bacterial large subunit ribosomal RNA
Source: RNAcentral
GGGGGUAGAGCACUGGAUGGGCUAGGGGGUCCCACAGACUUACCAAACCUAACCAAACUCCGAAUACCGGUGAGUGCAAUCAUGGCAGACAGACCAUGGGUGCUAAGAUCCGUGGUCGAAAGGGAAACAGCCCAGACCGCCAGCUAAGGUCCCUAAAUCACGUGCUAAGUGGGAAAGGAUGUGGGACGGCCAUGACAACCAGGAGGUUGGCUUAGAAGCAGCCACCCUUUAAAGAGUGCGUAAUAGCUCACUGGUCAAGUGAUUCCGCGCCGACAAUGUAGCGGGGCUCAAGUCAUCCGCCGAAGCUAUGGCAUUCAGC